GAUGAAGAACGCAGCGAAAUGCGAUAAGUAAUGUGAAUUGCAGAAUUCCGUGAAUCAUCGAAUCUUUGAACGCACAUUGCGCCCCUUGGUAUUCCAUGGGGCAUGCCUGUUCGAGCGUCAUUUGUACCUUCAAGCUCUGCUUGGUGUUGGGUGUUUGUCUCGCCUCUGCGUGUAGACUCGCCUUAAAACAAUUGGCAGCCGGCGUAUUGAUUUCGGAGCGCAGUACAUCUCGCGCUUUGCACUCAUAACGACGACGUCCAAAAGUACAUUUUUACACUCUUGACCUCGGAUCAGGUAGGGAUACCCGCUGAACUUAAGCAUAUCAAUAAGCGGAGGA
This 337-nucleotide unclassified non-coding RNA is filed under the name soil metagenome. RNAcentral's name for it is "partial contains 5.8S ribosomal RNA, internal transcribed spacer 2, and large subunit ribosomal RNA". The stretch from base 1 to 120 matches the Rfam family "5.8S ribosomal RNA", at positions 35 to 154 of the family's 154-position model. The record is from RNAcentral.